RNAcentral lists this ribosomal RNA (484 nucleotides) under uncultured bacterium. Its description in RNAcentral is "partial 16S ribosomal RNA". It matches the Rfam family "Bacterial small subunit ribosomal RNA", at positions 28 to 523 of the family's 1533-position model. The record is from RNAcentral.
GACGAACGCUGGCGGCGUGCUUAACACAUGCAAGUCGAACGAUGAAGCCGGAGCUUGCUCUGGUGAAUUAGUGGCGAACGGGUGAGUAACACGUGAGUAACCUGCCCUUGACUCUGGGAUAACAGCGGGAAACUGUAGCUAAUACCGGAUACGACCCUCGGAGGCAUCUCCUGGGGGUGGAAAGAAUUUCGGUCAAGGAUGGACUCGCGGCCUAUCAGCUAGUUGGUGAGGUAAAGGCUCACCAAGGCGACGACGGGUAGCCGGCCUGAGAGGGUGACCGGCCACACUGGGACUGAGACACGGCCCAGACUCCUACGGGAGGCAGCAGUGGGGAAUAUUGCACAAUGGGCGCAAGCUUGAUGCAGCAACGCCGCGUGAGGGAUGACGGCCUUCGGGUUGUAAACCUCUUUUAGCAGGGAAGAAGCGAAAGUGACGGUACCUGCAGAAAAAGCACCGGCUAACUACGUGCCAGCAGCCGCCGUAA